AUAUAAAUGAGAAAUUCUAUUUUUAUUUUUAUAUAUAUUAUGAGCAAAAAUUUAUCCUUGAGCUUUUGAUUUUUUUUUUUUUUACUUUUUUUUUUUUUUUUUGUCUUUAAAAUAUAUAUAUAUAUUUUUUUUAAAUGUAAGUCAAGAUACAUAUUGUAGCAUAACAAAUGAGUGAAGUGUAUUUGUAAUGUAUGAGAGAAAGUCAGAGAGCGAGAAAAUAUUACCAAAUAAAACUUAUAUGUAACCUUUAAUAUUAUAAUUGUAAAAAUCAAUUUGUCAGUGAUAAAAAUUGUUUACUGAAUUAUUUUCAAUAUUAUGUAACCCCUUGAUACCCUUGUCAGGUGGUAGUGUAGGGGUACAUGUAUGUUAAAUCCUGACUAUUGAAAAACAAAUAAAAGAUAAAAAAAAAAAAGAU
This 415-nucleotide long non-coding RNA is filed under the name Mytilus galloprovincialis (Mediterranean mussel). The record is from RNAcentral. Lineage: Eukaryota; Metazoa; Mollusca; Bivalvia; Mytilida; Mytilidae.